ACGCUGGCGGCAGGCUUACACAUGCAAGUCGAGCGGAGAUGAGGUGCUUGCACCUUAUCUUAGCGGCGGACGGGUGAGUAAUGCUUAGGAAUCUGCCUAUUAGUGGGGGACAACAUUCCGAAAGGAAUGCUAAUACCGCAUACGUCCUACGGGAGAAAGCAGGGGAUCUUCGGACCUUGCGCUAAUAGAUGAGCCUAAGUCGGAUUAGCUAGUUGGUGGGGUAAAGGCCUACCAAGGCGACGAUCUGUAGCGGGUCUGAGAGGAUGAUCCGCCACACUGGGACUGAGACACGGCCCAGACUCCUACGGGAGGCAGCAGUGGGGAAUAUUGGACAAUGGGGGGAACCCUGAUCCAGCCAUGCCGCGUGUGUGAAGAAGGCCUUAUGGUUGUAAAGCACUUUAAGCGAGGAGGAGGCUACUGAGACUAAUACUCUUGGAUAGUGGACGUUACUCGCAGAAUAAGCACCGGCUAACUCUGUGCCAGCAGCCGCGGUAAUACAGAGGGUGCGAGCGUUAAUCGGAUUUACUGGGCGUAAAGCGUGCGUAGGCGGCUUUUUAAGUCGGAUGUGAAAUCCCCGAGCUUAACUUGGGAAUUGCAUUCGAUACUGGGAAGCUAGAGUAUGGGAGAGGAUGGUAGAAUUCCAGGUGUAGCGGUGAAAUGCGUAGAGAUCUGGAGGAAUACCGAUGGCGAAGGCAGCCAUCUGGCCUAAUACUGACGCUGAGGUACGAAAGCAUGGGGAGCAAACAGGAUUAGAUACCCUGGUAGUCCAUGCCGUAAACGAUGUCUACUAGCCGUUGGGGCCUUUGAGGCUUUAGUGGCGCAGCUAACGCGAUAAGUAGACCGCCUGGGGGAGUACGGUCGCAAGACUAAAACUCAAAUGAAUUGACGGGGGCCCGCACAAGCGGUGGAGCAUGUGGUUUAAUUCGAUGCAACGCGAAGAACCUUACCUGGCCUUGACAUACUAGAAACUUUCCAGAGAUGGAUUGGUGCC
RNAcentral lists this ribosomal RNA (991 nucleotides) under Acinetobacter junii. RNAcentral describes it as "bacterial SSU rRNA". It matches the Rfam family "Bacterial small subunit ribosomal RNA", at positions 33 to 1018 of the family's 1533-position model. The record is from RNAcentral. Lineage: Bacteria; Pseudomonadati; Pseudomonadota; Gammaproteobacteria; Moraxellales; Moraxellaceae.